This 66-nucleotide transfer RNA is filed under the name Pallenopsis pilosa. Its description in RNAcentral is "tRNA-His". The record is from RNAcentral. Lineage: Eukaryota; Metazoa; Arthropoda; Pycnogonida; Pantopoda; Pallenopsidae.
UUACAAGUAGUUUAAUUAAAAAAUGUUGAUUUGUGGAGUCAAAGAUUUAAGAAAUUAAUUUGUAGA